Non-coding RNA from Poecilia reticulata (guppy), 4373 nucleotides. NCBI's taxonomy places the organism in Eukaryota, Metazoa, Chordata, Actinopteri, Cyprinodontiformes, Poeciliidae. The record is from RefSeq and is a predicted model, not a curated record.
UUUGUGCUCGUACUAGCAGAGCAAAAAUGGCGUAGGAGCGGAGGGUGAAGGAAGGAGAGGACCUUCUUCUCUCCCCCCUCGCCGUGUCCAGGAGAGGAGAGAAGGGGGUCCGCAACUUUGAAGUUUUCCUACAAAAUUGUCGAGUCGUCUUAUGAGAAUAAAGCUGGCAGUCCUGCAGGUGAGGAGGACUCUUAAUGUGUCACCGCAGAGGAAGGAUCUCCCCGGCUUUUGUUUACCAUUGUGUGCGGCAGCAGCUCGGAGGAACAGAGGAAAUAUUUCUACAUCAUUUCACACUGAGGCAGAGAGACGGAGCCGAUCCCGGGAGAAGACCCAGAACCUCCACUUCUGCCGAGCCCAAGAGAACUGUAGCUAAGCUAACCUUCUUUUGGGUUGCUUUCUGGAACAAUGGAUAUCGCUCUCUCUUCCACAGCAUUCCCAUUUGUCCUGACCUCUUUCUGCAGACUAGUCAUCAGCGAGGACCGCUCGCAACAUUUCAGAUUUACAAAGUUUUAAAGCCGUCCAACCUUGGAGAUGAAAACUAUGACAUAAAACCUGGUGUAACGACACCUGUUUAAUUUGUUUAAAGAAACGGGUGAAAUCCGGGUGACGCUUAUGAAAACGGAGUUGCUUUUCAACCGCACAAGAGGUUUGAUAAUGAGCAAACUGUUUGUUUUUUUUCUCCGAAGAAAGUAAAGACACAACAUACUGUAGCAAAGAUCAAACGCCUGUGAUACAAAUUAAGAUUCGUUGAUUCAUUUUCCUUUCUUUUCAACUACCUCAUUGUCACAGUAAGUCCAACGGGAUUGAGAGGAGCGUUUUCUGAACAAAGCAUGGCGUUACGGAGCACCACAGCAUUCAUCUUUGUCUGUCCAUCAAUGUUUCAGUAUUGACAUCAGGUAGUUGGCAGGAGAACAGAAGGUAAAUAUGCUGUUGCUUAUAUUCAGCAUUAGUUUUGUUAGUUAGGAGGAUUYCUUAAACGUCUUGCCUAGGCAUGAACUGGUAUGUUUUUAUAGAUGGCACAGUAUUGCUACAAAAAUCUGAAACCAAAAUGGAUAUUUAGGAGACAACUGCUUUUAUUUUACCAAAAAUAUUUAGGUMGCUGACAAUAUACAGCUAAAUUUGGACUCCUAAUAAGCAUUGGGAAAAGCCCCUGUCAGAUUACAGUGUGCAGCAACGUGUGGGGGAGGGGCGUGGCUAGAAAUCUCUGUUUAGAGCUCUUUUUCUGGCAUCUCGUUAAAAGCAUUUUAGUGUUUUUUUUGUGUGUUUUUUUUAAAUUCAGUCUUUAAAAUGUUCAUACUAGGGAUGCACGAUAUAUCGGCGCCAACAUCAGUAUCAGCCGAUAUUAGUAAUUUUUUAACAUCUAGGUAUCGGUCUGAUAAAUAAAACUGGGUGGAUGUUAACAACCGAAAUUUAUUUCCAUCUUGUUGCCGUUUUUCUGGUGAGGGAGGAGAUUGGUCAUGUGAURGUGACACMGCACAGGAUUGUGGGAAGUUUAACCGAAGCAGAGAAUGAGCGAAGUUGGCGGUAAAUAUCAGUUAWYUGCCAAAAUGGUAGUAUUAAGAUCGGGUAUUGGUAUCAACCCAAAAGUUCACAUCGGUGCAUCCCUGCUUAGUACCUUGAUGCYAAUAUCCGGCUCAUGCCUAGCCGUGUCUGCGUAGCAUCAAGAGUUUACAUCUCACACUUCCUGCAGCUUAUAAAUGGUUUCCCCUUUUUGUUUUAUUUUUUAUUUUUUCUUGCCAUAUACAUGUAUAGGGAAAACAACAAGAACAACAACAACAGAAUUACACUUUACCGGGAUCUGUGCAAUAUUUGAUCUUAACUGUCAUGUUGUUGACCAAACUGUAUAUUGUAUAAAACAAGUGACAAGUUGUUUGAAAGCAACAAAAUCACCAAUGUCUUCCAUUAAGAUAUGUAUAGACUCAUGUGCGUUAGCUUAUUUAGCGGGACUGUGGUGCCAAAAAACAUCAUAGUAGCCAUGCAUGACCAGUAGUAAUGCUUGCUUCAUCAAGAGUAUCGAUUUGUAGGCCGAGCUGAAGCUCAAAUCUGUGGAGUCCAUUUCGGUAAAAACUAGGGAGCAUUAGCCUCAUAUACUUUAAAAAAAACUUCUARGUAMGUCAAAUUUAGAUACCGCUCUAACCUAAAAUCUAGUGCUUGAGCUCUGUUUUAAGGCAUGUAUAUGCUAGUAGGAAAUAUAUAGCAUGACACAGUUGGGAUACACCGUUACAAAGAGGUGCACCAAUUAUGGCUUUUGUAUGUCUUUGACCUGCCAACAUCAAUUUCAAUCUUUUAUGACUUCUCUUGACCUGUAACAUGAGAWAAUAUAACAGCAUUCAAAAUAUUUUAUUUCUAGCCUUCCUGUCAUGAUUGGAGAUUGAUUGCGUGUAGUAAGAGCCGUGGCAGUGUCACAUUGUCUGUGAAAGAGGAGUCGCUGUAGAAUAGGGUUUGCAAGUAUUUUAAAGUGAAGUUUAAGGAUUUUAGCUCUUACCAUUGUUAGAACAGCUAGCAUUACAGAAACAGCAUUAAUUGUAUGUAUUACUCACAGAGAGCGUAGAUUCAUACGUCAGCUCUUAAGGCUUAAAGCUCAAAAGGAUAAGAUAGCAACGUUGCUCUACUCUGUUCAGCAUUCCUGUUUUCCGCUGAAGUCUGGCUCUCUCUUGCCGGACUGCAGCCGUUGAGAGAGCUGUAMACUAUGAAUGAGUCACAGACUACGGCUGCAUUUCCAUGAACCAUAUAAUUGCGCAAUUUGACAUUUUGAAAAUAAAUUUGCUUAAUGGAAACACGGCACUUUUGAGAAAGCUCUCGUUUUUCGAUAAAAAGCUGUGUUUCUAGGAUGAGGCAGUGUUUUGGCCGUAGAAAAAUUGGUUUAUUUCGCAAAACUGCGAUURAAAUACUUUCUUCAAAUCACCCAAGUCAUGUGAUGAUCACCAACCGGAUGAACAAACUUAUUCACAUGUGAUAUUAAUUGCAUGUCAUAUUUAAUGUAAACUUUUUUUUUAUUCAUUAGCAUAAUAGCAACAAAAUUCUGCGCACAUUUGGAAUGGAAACGMAGCUUAUGGUGAAUUYGCUGACUGGAAAGUUUGGAUUUUCCAAAAGUGGAUCUCUUGGUGCACCUCUACACGUAUUAAUGUUUGUUUUGUUUUUUAAACCACAUUGUAAUCUGUAAAGUUUAASAUAAGAACCAAAAARAUUUAUUCGAGAACCUAGUCUCAAAUGGGACAAUCUUUACAUAAAUGAUUUAGGAGGAGGACCUUAAAUCCCUAACUCKGCAUCUUGGAUAGGUGAUGCUGUUACAAUCCUCAUCGUGAAAUUGUACAAGUGACCUCAUAGUUUUGGGAUUCAGAGCGUUCUAUUUUAAUCCACAUAAUUGUAUUUAAUUAGAUUUUUUAGAAGCAAUAACCUGAAAUAAUGCAUGAAUAUAGCUCCAAGAGUUGGUGUUAAAAGGACUGUGUUAACAUCUCAUUGAAAAUCCCCCCUUUCCCUUGCUAUGUCUUUGAACUAGCAACAUGUUAGCCACUCAUUUCCUUUUACUGUAUCUUUAUUUUUUAGCCUCAUUUAGUUUUAGUCGUUAUUGAAAAUGAAAAAGGCUUUAAAUUUGAACUCUUGUAGCAUCCACGAAGACCCUCUCCUCGUCUGCGAGUUGCAGACUUAAGAAUAAACGCGGCAGCAAAAAGAACUAGCCGAACGACGCUAGCGUGAAAAGCACUUUCCAYGUAUCACCUUGCACCGCCCAUCGUCACCGUCACGUCUUGAAUGCUGUGUUCAGGCAACCMUGUAAUGUUCUUUCUGGUGAUUUAUAAUCCCAAUUUAUGAGCAAGUAGACGUCCAGGUGAUAUGAAUUUGUGGGUUUUAAAAAAAUAUGCAUGAUUUAGCAGAAUAACGAAUGAAUUGUAUUGCAUGCAAUAACCUAACCUUGUAAUGUGAAUGAGUGUAAGUAUAGAGGGAGUGGUGGGGGGGGUGGGGUACUAUGAUUUUCCAAUCCAACUGAAGGUAACGCCGACGGUUUUAUCGAUUAGCUGCGAUAUAUAUACAUAUAAUAUAGGGGGAAAAACAGCACUAAAAGAAGGAAUUGGUCAGUUUCUGUGUUUUUUCCUGUGUCACAUGCCAUCUGGCAGUACCACUACAGUGCAGCUCUGCAAUUCUUGUUCCCAUGAGGAAAACGUAGCAACAAAAGCUUUGGCGAGAUUCCUGAAAUUACUUUGUUGCUCAACUUUUCCACUGAGAUGGUGGGCUGUAUAGGAACUAUGCACUCCAGAGGGAGGAAACGGGCAUGCCUAAUAUGUGUGAGCCUCUUGUCUGGUUUUGUAAUAAAUGAAUAAAAAUAAAUCUGUAUCAGAAAAUUUUAAGCAAUAAACAGCAGCAUGGUGCCAAUUGAA